Molecule: unclassified non-coding RNA, 363 nt
Filed under: Hevea brasiliensis (rubber tree)
Lineage: Eukaryota; Viridiplantae; Streptophyta; Magnoliopsida; Malpighiales; Euphorbiaceae
Source: RNAcentral
GACGUGCUUUAUCAACUCAUCCAUGCCCAAAGUUAUGUUUUCCAUGAAGUUACAUUUGGAAAGAAGAGGUUUGGAAUGGAGAAUCUCAAUGUCAUUUUUAGUUAAAUUAACUGAAUGACAAUAAUUAUACGUAGGUUUCUUUGAUUAAUUGAUUAAUUAAUGUGAAGAGCUUGUUUGAAGAUGAGUUUGAAAUAGAAAAAAGGAGUAACUUCAGAUAAAUCAAAAAUUUUCCCCCAAUAACGAAGUAAGAAUUAAGCAUAAAUCCAUAUGAGAAUGUUUAGAAGUGUCGGUGUAUAAGCAGAAGUGAUUGACAUCCUAAGUGCUUCAUAUGUUGAAUGAGAUUUCAAAACUCAGAAAAACCAU